GCCCAGAUAGCUCAGUCGGUAGAGCAAAGGACUGAAAAUCCUUGUGUCGGCAGUUCGAUUCUGCCUCUGGGCACCA
This 76-nucleotide transfer RNA is filed under the name Rickettsiales bacterium. Its description in RNAcentral is "tRNA-Phe". It matches the Rfam family "tRNA". Rfam says of the family: Transfer RNA (tRNA) molecules are approximately 80 nucleotides in length. Their secondary structure includes four short double-helical elements and three loops (D, anti-codon, and T loops). Further hydrogen bonds mediate the characteristic L-shaped molecular structure. tRNAs have two regions of fundamental functional importance: the anti-codon, which is responsible for specific mRNA codon recognition, and the 3' end, to which the tRNAs corresponding amino acid is attached (by aminoacyl-tRNA synthetases). tRNAs cope with the degeneracy of the genetic code in two manners: having more than one tRNA (with a specific anti-codon) for a particular amino acid; and 'wobble' base-pairing, i.e. permitting non-standard base-pairing at the 3rd anti-codon position. The record is from RNAcentral. Lineage: Bacteria; Pseudomonadati; Pseudomonadota; Alphaproteobacteria; Rickettsiales. RNAcentral also lists the same sequence under 2 other names.